RNAcentral lists this non-coding RNA (29 nucleotides) under Homo sapiens (human). Lineage: Eukaryota; Metazoa; Chordata; Mammalia; Primates; Hominidae. The record is from RNAcentral.
UCGCCUAGUGUCAGGUAGAGGAAUGCCAC